UCCAGUUACUAUUACUACAACACAAACUAAACAUUCCCCCCAAAUUCAAUCCAUGCGCACCUACAUAUGUGCUGCAGUAUGCAGGGCUCCAGCUCUCUUCAUUAGUUUCACUUUGUCUUCAUUUCCCUGUUUUGUUCUCACUCUACCCACCAAACCUUUUUUUACUGAAAACUUUUUGUUGUGCAGGUUCAGUUUAGUAAAAUUAGAGGCCAAGUGAGUGAGGAUGAGGAUGGCAUAUGGACAUGGACAGGAAUAAUAUAAGAUGUUUCAAUAGAUAGUGUUAAAUAGUUACAGUACUUGCCAUGGUGAAGCCCUUUCUGUUCUACAGGAAGCAGUGCAGUUUGAAGAAAGUACAAGACUAGGUGGCCUUUCCUCUGUUCGUUCACAGCCCUCGCCCACGCCCAUCAACGCUCGCUUAGCCAAUAGGAAAACUGCGACAUUGCAUUUACCAAUGGGAAAUUAUUUACCACCUUUGCAAUCAUUUGGUGCUACGGAGAUUUUCCCAACAGACGUUUCUCUCAGUUUCAAAGGUGUCGACAAUAAGCAUCGCUAAACACACCCAUGUUCUGUAGCCUAGGCUACUACGAACUUUCACUUUUGCUCGAUCUGGAACACGGUUAUAUGGAAACGACUCCAAUUUGUGAGUGGGAACAAUCAGGAGUUGUGUCAGUCAGUUGCUGCAGUGCGCUUCUGUAGGCUACGGACUUUCGAAAGUGUGGUUGUUGAAUUUGUUGCUGCAAUGCGCUUCUGUAGGC
Anguilla anguilla (European eel) is the source of this 755-nucleotide long non-coding RNA. RefSeq lists it as uncharacterized. The transcript has 3 exons. Lineage: Eukaryota; Metazoa; Chordata; Actinopteri; Anguilliformes; Anguillidae. The record is from RefSeq and is a predicted model, not a curated record.